Cynocephalus volans (Philippine flying lemur) is the source of this 117-nucleotide small nuclear RNA. RefSeq annotates it as U5 spliceosomal RNA. NCBI's taxonomy places the organism in Eukaryota, Metazoa, Chordata, Mammalia, Dermoptera, Cynocephalidae. The record is from RefSeq and is a predicted model, not a curated record. The transcript has a single exon.
AUACUCUUUGUUUCUCUUCAAAACGUAUAAAUCUUUCGCCUUUUACUAAAGAUUUCCGUGGGGAGAAACAUAUCUGAGUUUUCAGUUAAUUUUUUGAGGCCUUGUUUUGGCAGGGCU